CGAACGCUGGCGGCGUGCCUAAUACAUGCAAGUCGAGCGAAGUUUUUCUGGUGCUUGCACCGGAAAAACUUAGCGGCGAACGGGUGAGUAACACGUAAAGAACCUGCCUCAUAGACUGGGACAACUAUUGGAAACGAUAGCUAAUACCGGAUAAUAGCAUUAACUGCAUGGUUGAUGUUUAAAAGUUGGUUUUGCUAACACUAUGAGAUGGCUUUGCGGUGCAUUAGCUAGUUGGUGGGGUAAAGGCCUACCAAGGCGACGAUGCAUAGCCGACCUGAGAGGGUGAUCGGCCACACUGGGACUGAGACACGGCCCAGACUCCUACGGGAGGCAGCAGUAGGGAAUCUUCCGCAAUGGGCGAAAGCCUGACGGAGCAACGCCGCGUGAGUGAAGAAGGAUUUCGGUUCGUAAAGCUCUGUUGUUAGGGAAGAAUGAUUGUGUAGUAACUAUACACAGUAGAGACGGUACCUAACCAGAAAGCCACGGCUAACUACGUG
This 497-nucleotide ribosomal RNA is filed under the name uncultured bacterium. Its description in RNAcentral is "partial 16S ribosomal RNA". It matches the Rfam family "Bacterial small subunit ribosomal RNA", at positions 30 to 507 of the family's 1533-position model. The record is from RNAcentral.